CUGGCGGCUGGGCUCGCUGUAGUUGUGCUCCCGCUCUUCCCCUGCCCUCGCUCCACGCCGCGCCGCUCUGUGCGGCGGCUGCCUCCUCUUACGGCCGGAAUGCCUAAUCACCAUGCAAGAAGAAUUUUCUGCGAAAGAACCUUCUUACACCUUUUCCAAGAAAAGAUCCUGGAUUGGGACUACAUGUUGAGCCUGGAGAAAUGAUAGGCUGUAGUAUGAAUCAGAACACCUGGUAGAUGCUAAGUAAACAGAAGGAAUUUAUCAUCUUCCAGCCUUA
RNAcentral lists this long non-coding RNA (277 nucleotides) under Homo sapiens (human). Its description in RNAcentral is "HSALNT0291901". The record is from RNAcentral. Lineage: Eukaryota; Metazoa; Chordata; Mammalia; Primates; Hominidae.